Molecule: unclassified non-coding RNA, 192 nt
Filed under: fungal sp.
Lineage: Eukaryota; Fungi
Description: partial internal transcribed spacer region
Source: RNAcentral
AAGUCGUAACAAGGUUUAUGGUUUCCCUAAGCAGUGCAGAAGGAUCCACUGAGUAAGGAUAACGCAUCACGGUUGCUGCAGACAUGUCACAGGGCUACAUGCCCCUUCGUUCACCCCUUGCCUAAAACUCGCCCACCGGAAACGCUGGGCACAAAAACCGAACAACUGUUAACAAUGGAUAUCUUGGUUCUC